Molecule: non-coding RNA, 77 nt
Filed under: Xenopus laevis (African clawed frog)
Lineage: Eukaryota; Metazoa; Chordata; Amphibia; Anura; Pipidae
Description: Magnesium sequence
Rfam family: Magnesium riboswitch aptamer (Magnesium responsive RNA element)
About the family: The Magnesium sensor RNA element is a cis-regulatory element that regulates the expression of the magnesium transporter protein MgtA.
Source: Rfam by way of RNAcentral
CCCACCGGGAGUUUUCCUGGUAUCCCGGUGGGCCAGUCCGACACUGCUCUGCUGGAUGUGUGGAGUAGUGGAGGCCU